GUUUGUGGCUCAGUGGUAGAGAGUGCUCGCCUAGCACGUGCUAGGCCCUGGGUUCGAUCCUCAGCACCACA
Molecule: transfer RNA, 71 nt
Filed under: Marmota monax (woodchuck)
Lineage: Eukaryota; Metazoa; Chordata; Mammalia; Rodentia; Sciuridae
Description: tRNA.Ala
Source: RNAcentral